RNAcentral lists this unclassified non-coding RNA (500 nucleotides) under Banisteriopsis variabilis. RNAcentral's name for it is "partial contains external transcribed spacer and 18S ribosomal RNA". The stretch from base 444 to 500 matches the Rfam family "Eukaryotic small subunit ribosomal RNA", at positions 1 to 57 of the family's 1831-position model. The record is from RNAcentral. Lineage: Eukaryota; Viridiplantae; Streptophyta; Magnoliopsida; Malpighiales; Malpighiaceae.
GGGCGUGUGAGUGGUGUUUGGAAUGUUGGGAUGGUAGGCUCCGUGCUUUUUGCAUCGAACUGCUAGACCGCAAUCCUUUUCAAGUCUCGAGCAUUGCUUUUAUGCUCGGGUUAUCGACCGUGUUCCUGUAUUUGAUACCCAUGUCGGAGGAACUAGGCUUCUGUUCUCCCCAGUCCGCUCGAUGCCUCUUACGGGCAUCGAGCGGAGCACGUAGUUCGAUCUGUCGAGCCUAGCACGCCUUCUCGGCUGCAACGGUCGUCGGAUCAAAGCUCGUGUUCUCGGAUGCAGAAUACUCGAUGGGUCCAAGGAUUGAAUCCUUGCAUUGGCCCUGUGUGGGAAAUCGUCCCUCGAUAAGAACGACGUCCGCCGUGCGUCGCGAUCCGUCCGAUGUCCUCUCGGGACGAGGACGCUUCGUGCGUGCGUCGGUGUCCUCGAAGGAAUGCUACCUGGUUGAUCCUGCCAGUAGUCAUAUGCUUGUCUCAAAGAUUAAGCCAUGCUGG